This 65-nucleotide transfer RNA is filed under the name Dipodomys ordii (Ord's kangaroo rat). It matches the Rfam family "tRNA". From Rfam's summary of the family: Transfer RNA (tRNA) molecules are approximately 80 nucleotides in length. Their secondary structure includes four short double-helical elements and three loops (D, anti-codon, and T loops). The record is from Rfam by way of RNAcentral. Lineage: Eukaryota; Metazoa; Chordata; Mammalia; Rodentia; Heteromyidae.
GGUGGCUCAGCAGUAGAGUGCAUGCCUAGCAAGCAUGAGGCCCUGGAUUCGAUUCCUCAGCACCA